This 240-nucleotide unclassified non-coding RNA is filed under the name soil metagenome. Its description in RNAcentral is "partial contains 5.8S ribosomal RNA, internal transcribed spacer 2, and large subunit ribosomal RNA". The record is from RNAcentral.
AACGCACGAGACCUGCGGACCUGCGGAAGGAUCAUUACCGAGUGCGGGCCCGCUCUGGGCCCAACCUCCCACCCGUGUCUCUUGCGUACUUUGUUGCUUUGGCGGGCCCACUGGGUCACUCCGGUCGCCGGGGAGCGCUAUGCUCCCGGGCCCGUGCCCGCCAGAGCACCCCUGUGAACCCUGAUGAAGAGAGGCUGUCUGAGUCCCACGAUAAUCGUUAAAACUUUUAACAACGGAUCU